This 388-nucleotide long non-coding RNA is filed under the name Amborella trichopoda. RNAcentral describes it as "long non-coding RNA (ATRI_LNC001102)". Lineage: Eukaryota; Viridiplantae; Streptophyta; Magnoliopsida; Amborellales; Amborellaceae. The record is from RNAcentral.
UAAUUUGAUUAUUUAGAGCCUCGGUUCUAUAUAAACUUUUCCUUUUUAAAUAUGGACGUGGUUUUUAUGAUUCCAUGAAGAAAUAAGUCGACUCUUAAAAAUCUAUUUUUGAGAUGCAUUUUUUAAUCCAAUUUUUAAGGAUAUGUAAUCUCUAACAUGGAGAUCAUGAAUAAAUUAAAUAAAUAAAUUUUAAAAAAUAAAAAUAAUAAUUUAAUAAAGAAAAAAUUUGGACUGUCAGCUUCAAUUGUUUUAAGAUGAACCACCUAUUUGCAUCCAUCUCUAAGAUGGAUUAAAGAUGUAUGCUUUAUACCUUGAGGCCGUAUGACGUAGAAAUAUGGUCCAGCCCGCAUGAAACAAUUUUCCUUUAAAUAUUGGCAAGCACAAUGAG